RNAcentral lists this ribosomal RNA (397 nucleotides) under uncultured bacterium. Its description in RNAcentral is "partial 16S ribosomal RNA". It matches the Rfam family "Bacterial small subunit ribosomal RNA", at positions 523 to 918 of the family's 1533-position model. The record is from RNAcentral.
AUACGUAGGGGGCAAGCGUUAUCCGGAUUUACUGGGCGUAAAGGGCGUGUAGGCGGUCUUGCAAGUCAGAAGUGAAAUUCCUGAGCUCAACUCGGGCGCUGCUUCUGAAACUGCAGGACUUGAGUGCUGGAGGGGAUAGCGGAAUUCCUAGUGGAGCGGUAAAAUGCGCAGAUAUUAGGAAGAACACCGGUGGCGAAGGCGGCUAUCUGGACAGUAACUGACGCUGAGGCGCGAAAGCGUGGGGAGCAAACAGGAUUAGAUACCCUGGUAGUCCACGCGGUAAACGAUGAAUGCUAGGUGUAGCGGGUAUCGACCCCUGCUGUGCCGCAGUAAACACAAUAAGCAUUCCGCCUGGGGAGUACGGCCGCAAGGUUGAAACUCAAAUGAAUUGACGGGG